UGGUGGCAGAAUCAGGAUCCAAAGAGAACUUCUGACAGCAUUUGGGGACAAUGAGAAACAGGUGCGGUGCCUGUGAACCCUUAAGUUCUCUGUGAUUCUCCCUGUUUCCGAGGGCCAUUGCUUCUCCACUGUACGAACUUACGAACAUUUCCGUCCGGG
RNAcentral lists this long non-coding RNA (159 nucleotides) under Mustela putorius furo (domestic ferret). Its description in RNAcentral is "lncRNA (ENSMPUG00000026773.1)". Lineage: Eukaryota; Metazoa; Chordata; Mammalia; Carnivora; Mustelidae. The record is from RNAcentral.